RNAcentral lists this long non-coding RNA (682 nucleotides) under Vigna radiata. Its description in RNAcentral is "long non-coding RNA (VRAD_LNC005636)". Lineage: Eukaryota; Viridiplantae; Streptophyta; Magnoliopsida; Fabales; Fabaceae. The record is from RNAcentral.
GCACUAAGAAGUGAACUUGCUUUGCCUCUUUCAUUCUCUAGCUCCUCUUAUAUUCAAAUCUCUUUCUUUUCCAAAUUCUGAAGUUCUGACCAGUUAAUAUUCACUUUCCAUUCUAGCUGGUUGCUGUUAGUUUUGCUACUGUACUCUCGCGGUUCAGUUGUUUUUUCCUCUCGUAAUUUUGGUUUGUAUUAUUCUUUGUAACUUUUCAACACCACUGUUAUUGAUGUUUUAUGAAUUUUUCUGUGUUCUUGAAAACACGAUUACUGAACCGUGCAUGGCUGCUGAUGAGGUUCUGGUCAUUAGCGGUUUUUGAAACCGGAAUGUUGAACUGUUACCUCAGAUAGCAUACUUGUUUCCCAAGAAUCCUCAAAUGGACACCUUGAUGGUCUUGCGAUGUGCUUGUUUUUUAUUUUACUUUUUUGUUGUUUCCUAGUUUUAUCUAAAUCCUUCUGGUUUGCUUGUUUUCAAUUGUUUCUAGUGUUUGUUGAUGCUGUUUUUUGUUUUAUGCGAAUGUAUGAAUGUAUGUGGUCUCAAAUGCUGUUUAACUGUGUAAGCAGCUUUGUUUUACCAUUUUUUUGCAAGGGCUUAUCUGAAAUUGAAAUGAUGUUUUUUAUUGUUUUACUCGGUGUAGAUUAAGCUGUAGUGUAUCAAAGUAUUUGAUCAGGUGUGUGUAUUUGGUUAU